AUUGAACGCUGGCGGCAGGCCUAACACAUGCAAGUCGAACGAGUGGCGGACGGGUGAGGAAUGUCUGGGAAACUGCCUGAUGGAGGGGGAUAACUACUGGAAACGGUAGCUAAUACCGCAUACCAUCAGAUGUGCCAAGAUGGGAUUAGCUUGUUGGUGGGGUAACGGCCCACCAAGGCGACGAUCCCUAGCUGGUCUGAGAGGAUGACCAGCCGCACUGGGACUGAAGACCCGCCCAGACUCCUUCGGGAAGCAGCAGUAUGGAAUUUUCGGCAAUGGGCGGAAGUCUGACCGAGCAACGCCGCGUGAGUGAAAAAGGUUUUCGGGUCGUAAAGUCUUUUGUGAGAGAAGACGGUAACUGACCAGGAAGGGACGGCUAACUACGUGCCAGCAGCCGCGGUAAUAC
Molecule: ribosomal RNA, 406 nt
Filed under: uncultured bacterium
Lineage: Bacteria
Description: partial 16S ribosomal RNA
Rfam family: Bacterial small subunit ribosomal RNA
Source: RNAcentral